This 394-nucleotide long non-coding RNA is filed under the name Mytilus galloprovincialis (Mediterranean mussel). Lineage: Eukaryota; Metazoa; Mollusca; Bivalvia; Mytilida; Mytilidae. The record is from RNAcentral.
AACUAGAUAUAGGAAGAUGUGGUAUGAGUGCCAAUGAGACAACUUGCCAUCCAAAUAACAAUCUAAAAAAGUAAACCAUUAUAGGUCAAUGUACGGCCUUCAACACAGAGCCUUGGCUCACACCGAACAACAAGCUAUAAAGGGCCCCAAAAUUACUAGUGUAAAACCAUUCAAACGGGAAAACCAACGGGCUAAUCUAUAUAAAAAAACGAGAAACGAGAAACACGUAUAAAUUACAUAAACAAACGACAAAUACUGUACAUCAGAUUCCUGACUUACGACAGGUGCAAACAUUUACAGCGGGAUUAAACGUUUUAAUGGUACCAAACCUUCUCCUUUUUUCUGAAACAAUAGCAUAACAUCACAACAUAUUAAAACACACGAUAAAAUAUCA